RNAcentral lists this ribosomal RNA (464 nucleotides) under uncultured bacterium. Its description in RNAcentral is "partial 16S ribosomal RNA". It matches the Rfam family "Bacterial small subunit ribosomal RNA", at positions 339 to 795 of the family's 1533-position model. The record is from RNAcentral.
CUACGGGACGCUGCAGUGGGGAAUAUUGGACAAUGGGGGGAACCCUGAUCCAGCAAUGCCGCGUGUGUGAAGAAGGCCUUCGGGUUGUAAAGCACUUUCAGUAGGGAAGAAAUACUCAAGGUUAAUACCCUUGAGGGCUGACAUUACCUACAGAAGAAGCACUGGCUAACUCUGUGCCAGCAGCCGCGGUAAUACAGAGAGUGCAAGCGUUAAUCGGAAUUACUGGGCGUAAAGCGCGCGUAGGUGGAUAUUUAAGUCGGAUGUGAAAUCCCCGGGCUUAACCUGGGAAUUGCAUUCGAUACUGGGUAUCUAGAGUAUGGUAGAGGGAAGUGGAAUUUCCGGUGUAGCGGUGAAAUGCGUAGAUAUCGGAAAGAACACCAGUGGCGAAGGCGGCUUCCUGGACCAAUACUGACACUGAGGUGCGAAAGCGUGGGGAGCAAACAGGAUUAGAUACCCUCGUAGUC